Molecule: transfer RNA, 73 nt
Filed under: Ipomoea nil (Japanese morning glory)
Lineage: Eukaryota; Viridiplantae; Streptophyta; Magnoliopsida; Solanales; Convolvulaceae
Rfam family: tRNA
About the family: Transfer RNA (tRNA) molecules are approximately 80 nucleotides in length. Their secondary structure includes four short double-helical elements and three loops (D, anti-codon, and T loops).
Source: Rfam by way of RNAcentral
GCACCUGUAGCUCAGUGGAUAGAGCGUCUGUUUCCUAAGCAAAAAGUUGUACAUUCGACCCCUACUAGGUGCG